AGAAACUUCAUUCUCGAUUCUACGAGAUUUUUUAUGAAAGCGUUUCAUUUGCUUCUCUUCAAUGGAAGUUUCAUUUUCCCAGAAUGUAUCCUAAUUUUUGGCCUAAUUCUUCUUCUGAUGAUUGAUUCAACCUCUGAUCAAAAAGAUAGACCUUGGUUCUAUUUCAUCUCUUCAACAAGUUUAGUAAUAAGCAUAACGGCCCUAUUGUUCCGAUGGAGAGAAGAACCUAUAAUCCUUUUGGCUCAACUUUAUCCUAGUUUUGCCGAAGGAGCACUGAGGGAAGUACCUUUUCCCCUUCUUCACGAGUAG
This 309-nucleotide ribosomal RNA is filed under the name Triticum aestivum (bread wheat). Its description in RNAcentral is "partial small subunit ribosomal RNA". Lineage: Eukaryota; Viridiplantae; Streptophyta; Magnoliopsida; Poales; Poaceae. The record is from RNAcentral.